GAGAAUCAAUAAGAAAGUCCAACUCUUCACCGGAGAUUUUUCUUCCCACACCCGUUAAAGAGAAUGGAGACAGCAAGGGCUUCACCGUAACGAGUGAGAGGAAGGAGUUGAAUCGGUUGAGAAAGAGAGAAACUUGAAGAGUGACGGUGAGAUUUAGGGCAAAAAGGUGAUAAUUUUCGCCGGAAAGAUGACGCAACAGAGAAACUUGUUUACUCUGGUCGCCGCUUUUUUUCCUCUACCUCCCCUUGUUCAUA
Molecule: long non-coding RNA, 254 nt
Organism: Arabidopsis thaliana (thale cress)
Lineage: Eukaryota; Viridiplantae; Streptophyta; Magnoliopsida; Brassicales; Brassicaceae
Product: other RNA
Exons: 1
Source: RefSeq